RNAcentral lists this ribosomal RNA (411 nucleotides) under uncultured bacterium. RNAcentral's name for it is "bacterial SSU rRNA". It matches the Rfam family "Bacterial small subunit ribosomal RNA", at positions 975 to 1385 of the family's 1533-position model. The record is from RNAcentral.
CUACUCUUGACAUCCAGAGAAGCCAGCGGAGACGCAGGUGUGCCUUCGGGAGCUCUGAGACAGGUGCUGCAUGGCUGUCGUCAGCUCGUGUUGUGAAAUGUUGGGUUAAGUCCCGUAACGAGCGCAACCCUUGUCCUUAUUUGCCAGCACGUAAUGGUGGGAACUCUAAGGAGACUGCCGGUGACAAACCGGAGGAAGGUGGGGACGACGUCAAGUCAUCAUGGCCCUUACGAGUAGGGCUACACACGUGCUACAAUGGUCGGUACAGAGGGUUGCGAACCUGCGAAGGUAAGCUAAUCUCAAAAAACCGAUCGUAGUCCGGAUUGGAGUCUGCAACUCGACUCCAUGAAGUCGGAAUCGCUAGUAAUCGUAGAUCAGAAUGCCACGGUGAAUACGUUCCCGGGUCUUGUA